This 362-nucleotide ribosomal RNA is filed under the name uncultured Vibrio sp. Its description in RNAcentral is "bacterial SSU rRNA". It matches the Rfam family "Bacterial small subunit ribosomal RNA", at positions 1029 to 1390 of the family's 1533-position model. Lineage: Bacteria; Pseudomonadati; Pseudomonadota; Gammaproteobacteria; Vibrionales; Vibrionaceae. The record is from RNAcentral.
CUGAGACAGGUGCUGCAUGGCUGUCGUCAGCUCGUGUUGUGAAAUGUUGGGUUAAGUCCCGCAACGAGCGCAACCCUUAUCCUUGUUUGCCAGCGAGUAAUGUCGGGAACUCCAGGGAGACUGCCGGUGAUAAACCGGAGGAAGGUGGGGACGACGUCAAGUCAUCAUGGCCCUUACGAGUAGGGCUACACACGUGCUACAAUGGCGCAUACAGAGGGCGGCCAACUUGCGAAAGUGAGCGAAUCCCAAAAAGUGCGUCGUAGUCCGGAUUGGAGUCUGCAACUCGACUCCAUGAAGUCGGAAUCGCUAGUAAUCGUGGAUCAGAAUGCCACGGUGAAUACGUUCCCGGGUCUUGUACACAC